AUGACUACCGUUCCGGGGUCUCUGGUGUGGGAGCUCGUGAAGAAAAACAACUGCUUCUUGAUCAAGCAGUUCGGCAACAGCAACGCCAAGGUGCAGUUCAGCAAGGAGCCAAACAACCUCUACAAUGUCCACUCCUACAAGUUCUCUGGCUUGGCGAACAGCAAGACCGUGGCGGUCCAGCCAUCAGCGGGAGAGGACAAGGCUGUCGUCCUGUCCACGACCAAGACCAAGAAGCAGAACACCCCUGCCAAGCUCCAGCACAAGACUCUGAUGCGCAAGGAGUUCCGCAAGAUGGCCAAGUCCGUCAAGAACCAGGUCUGCGACAACUACUACAGGCCUGAUCUGACCAAGCCGGCCCUUGCAAGGCUGAGUGCCGUGUACCGCAGCCUCCAGGUUUCCAAGUCUGGAAUCAAGAAGAAGAACAGGCAGCCAACUAAGCUGUAA
Molecule: ribosomal RNA, 444 nt
Filed under: Triticum aestivum (bread wheat)
Lineage: Eukaryota; Viridiplantae; Streptophyta; Magnoliopsida; Poales; Poaceae
Description: partial small subunit ribosomal RNA
Source: RNAcentral